CAUAUCAAUAAGCGGAGGAAAAGAAACCAACAGGGAUUGCCUCAGUAACGGCGAGUGAAGCGGCAACAGCUCAAAUUUGAAAUCUGGCUCCUUCGGGGUCCGAGUUGUAAUUUGCAGAGGAUGCGUCGGGUACGGGUCCCUACCGAGUUCCCUGGAACGGGACGCCAUAGAGGGUGAGAGCCCCGUCUGGUAGGAUACCCAGCCCAUGUGACGCUCCCUCGACGAGUCGAGUAGUUUGGGAAUGCUGCUCUAACGGGAGGUAUACUCCUUCCAAAGCUAAAUACCGGCUGGAGACCGAUAGCGCACAAGUAGAGUGAUCGAAAGAUGAAAAGCACUUUGAAAAGAGAGUCAAACAGCACGUGAAAUUGUUAAAAGGGAAGCACUCGCUACCAGACUUGGGUUUGGCGGUUCAACCGGGGCCACGCCCCGGGGCAUUCCGCCAGCUCAGGCCAGCAUCAGCUUUCCGUCGGGGGCAAAGACGUCGGGAAUGUGGCUCCCCCUCGGGGGAGUGUUAUAGCCCGGCGUGUCAUACCCUUCGGGGGGCUGAGGUACGCGCUUCUGCAAGGAUGCUGGCGUAAUGGUAGCUAGUGACCCGUCUUGAAACACGGACCAAGGAGUCAACCUUAUGUGCGAGUGCCCGGGCGUAAAACCCCAGCGCGGAAUGAAAGUGAACGUAGGUGAGAGCUUCGGCGCAUCACCGACCGAUCCUGAUGUCCUCGGACGGAUUUGAGUGAGAGCAUAUAGGGUUGGACCCGAAAGAAGAUGAACUAUGCGUGUGUAGGGUGAAGCCAGAGGAAACUCUGGUGGAGGCUCGCAGCGGUUCUGACGUGCAAAUCGAUCGUCAAACAUGCGCAUGGGGGCGAAAGACUAAUCGAAUCUUCUGGUAGCUGGUUUCCGC
This 898-nucleotide ribosomal RNA is filed under the name Plectosphaerella plurivora. RNAcentral's name for it is "partial large subunit ribosomal RNA". It matches the Rfam family "Eukaryotic large subunit ribosomal RNA", at positions 39 to 961 of the family's 3401-position model. Lineage: Eukaryota; Fungi; Ascomycota; Sordariomycetes; Glomerellales; Plectosphaerellaceae. The record is from RNAcentral.